This 23-nucleotide small nuclear RNA is filed under the name Arabidopsis thaliana (thale cress). RNAcentral describes it as "snRNA_13462". Lineage: Eukaryota; Viridiplantae; Streptophyta; Magnoliopsida; Brassicales; Brassicaceae. The record is from RNAcentral.
CUGGAUAAUCCAAUCGGCUACAC